Molecule: long non-coding RNA, 167 nt
Organism: Phalaenopsis equestris
Lineage: Eukaryota; Viridiplantae; Streptophyta; Magnoliopsida; Asparagales; Orchidaceae
Exons: 3
Source: RefSeq, a predicted model, not a curated record
CAGAGCUCCAAACAUCGUUAAUGUCAAUCAGCCAAAAUAUCUCUUCACUGGUGUAUGUGAUUCCAUUGGGUGUCAGUGGAGCAGUUAGCACCCGAAUAUCAAAUGAAUUGGGUGCAAAAAAUCCAAGGGCCGCUGUGCUUGCUGUGCUAUCUGCGGCGAUAAGCAUA